ACCCUGUCCUCCUAUUUUCAGUUGGUUUUGGCAGCGCGAGGACUAGGGUAAUGAUUAAUAGGGAUAGUUGGGGGCAUUAAUAUUUAAUUGUCAGAGGUGAAAUUCUUGGAUUUAUGAAAGAUUAACUUCUGCGAAAGCAUCUGCCAAGGAUGUUUUCAUUAAUCAAGAACGAAAGUUAGGGGAUCGAAGACGAUCAGAUACCGUCGUAGUCUUAACCAUAAACGAUGCCGACCAGCGAUUAGGAGACGUUGAAUACAAAACACCACCAUCGGCGCGGUCGUCCUUGGCGUUCGUGUUCAC
RNAcentral lists this ribosomal RNA (300 nucleotides) under Acanthamoeba sp. 2 MS-2013. Its description in RNAcentral is "SSU rRNA". It matches the Rfam family "Eukaryotic small subunit ribosomal RNA", at positions 814 to 1114 of the family's 1831-position model. The record is from RNAcentral. Lineage: Eukaryota; Discosea; Longamoebia; Acanthamoebidae.